RNAcentral lists this ribosomal RNA (305 nucleotides) under uncultured bacterium. RNAcentral describes it as "bacterial SSU rRNA". It matches the Rfam family "Bacterial small subunit ribosomal RNA", at positions 337 to 659 of the family's 1533-position model. The record is from RNAcentral.
CCCUACGGGGCGCAGCAGUGGGGAAUAUUACACAAUGGGGGAAACCCUGAUGCAGCAACGCCGCGUGAGUGAAGAAGUAUUUCGGUAUGUAAAGCUCUAUCAGCAGGGAAGAUAAUGACGGUACCUGACUAAGAAGCCCCGGCUAACUACGUGCCAGCAGCCGCGGUAAUACGUAGGGGGCAAGCGUUAUCCGGAUUUACUGGGUGUAAAGGGUGCGUAGGUGGCAGGGCAAGUCAGAUGUGAAAACCCGGGGCUCAACUCCGGGAGUACAUUUGAAACUGUCCAGCUAGGGUGCAGGAGAGGUA